UUUGAACCGCAUGGUUCAAAAGUGAAAGACGGUCUUGCUGUCACUUAUAGAUGGAUCCGCGCUGCAUUAGCUAGUUGGUAAGGUAACGGCUUACCAAGGCAACGAUGCAUAGCCGACCUGAGAGGGUGAUCGGCCACACUGGAACUGAGACACGGUCCAGACUCCUACGGGAGGCAGCAGUAGGGAAUCUUCCGCAAUGGGCGAAAGCCUGACGGAGCAACGCCGCGUGAGUGAUGAAGGUCUUCGGAUCGUAAAACUCUGUUAUUAGGGAAGAACAUAUGUGUAAGUAACUGUGCACAUCUUGACGGUACCUAAUCAGAAAGCCACGGCUAACUACGUGCCAGCAGCCGCGGUAAUACGUAGGUGGCAAGCGUUAUCCGGAAUUAUUGGGCGUAAAGCGCGCGUAGGCGGUUUUUUAAGUCUGAUGUGAAAGCCCACGGCUCAACCGUGGAGGGUCAUUGGAAACUGGAAAACUUGAGUGCAGAAGAGGAAAGUGGAAUUCCAUGUGUAGCGGUGAAAUGCGCAGAGAUAUGGAGGAACACCAGUGGCGAAGGCGACUUUCUGGUCUGUAACUGACGCUGAUGUGCGAAAGCGUGGGGAUCAAACAGGAUUAGAUACCCUGGUAGUCCACGCCGUAAACGA
Molecule: ribosomal RNA, 642 nt
Filed under: Staphylococcus aureus
Lineage: Bacteria; Bacillati; Bacillota; Bacilli; Caryophanales; Staphylococcaceae
Description: bacterial SSU rRNA
Rfam family: Bacterial small subunit ribosomal RNA
Source: RNAcentral